AGAGUUUGAUCCUGGCUCAGGACGAACGCUGGCGGCGUGCUUAACACAUGCAAGUCGAACGGAAAGGCCCUGCUUUUGUGGGGUGCUCGAGUGGCGAACGGGUGAGUAACACGUGAGUAACCUGCCCUUGACUUUGGGAUAACUUCAGGAAACUGGGGCUAAUACCGGAUAGGAGCUCCUGCUGCAUGGUGGGGGUUGGAAAGUUUCGGCGGUUGGGGAUGGACUCGCGGCUUAUCAGCUUGUUGGUGGGGUAGUGGCUUACCAAGGCUUUGACGGGUAGCCGGCCUGAGAGGGUGACCGGCCACAUUGGGACUGAGAUACGGCCCAGACUCCUACGGGAGGCAGCAGUGGGGAAUAUUGCACAAUGGGCGGAAGCCUGAUGCAGCAACACCGCGUGCGGGAUGACGGCCUUCGGGUUGUAAACCGCUUUCGCCUGUGACGAAGCGUGAGUGACGGUAAUGGGUAAAGAAGCACCGGCUAACUACGUG
Molecule: ribosomal RNA, 488 nt
Filed under: uncultured Propionibacterium sp.
Lineage: Bacteria; Bacillati; Actinomycetota; Actinomycetes; Propionibacteriales; Propionibacteriaceae
Description: bacterial SSU rRNA
Rfam family: Bacterial small subunit ribosomal RNA
Source: RNAcentral